UACAGAGGGUGCGAGCGUUGUUCGGAAUUACUGGGCGUAAAGCGUGCGCAGGCGGUUAUGUAAGACAGAUGUGAAAUCCCCGGGCUCAACCUGGGAACUGCAUUUGUGACUGCAGAGCUAGAGGACGGUAGAGGGGGGUGGAAUUGCUGGUGUAGCGGUGAAAUGCGUAGAGAUCAGCAGGAACACCCGUGGCGAAGGCGGCCCCCUGGGCCGAACCUGACGCUGAGGCGCGAAGGCUAGGGGAGCGAACGGG
Molecule: ribosomal RNA, 253 nt
Filed under: uncultured bacterium
Lineage: Bacteria
Description: partial 16S ribosomal RNA
Rfam family: Bacterial small subunit ribosomal RNA
Source: RNAcentral